UGUGCAGGCGGUUUUGUUAGUCUUUCGUAAAAGCUCUUGGGCCUAACCCAGGAAAUGCGAAGGAAACGGCAAAACUUAGAGGGCGCGAGAGGUGCACGGAACUCAUGGUGUAGGGGUGAAAUCCGUUGAUAUCAUGGGGAACACCAAAUGCGAAGGCAGUGCACUAGCGCGUUCCUGACGCUCAGACACGAAAGCGUAGGUAGCGAACG
RNAcentral lists this ribosomal RNA (209 nucleotides) under uncultured bacterium. Its description in RNAcentral is "partial 16S ribosomal RNA". It matches the Rfam family "Bacterial small subunit ribosomal RNA", at positions 568 to 774 of the family's 1533-position model. The record is from RNAcentral.